Oreochromis niloticus (Nile tilapia) is the source of this 347-nucleotide long non-coding RNA. RefSeq lists it as uncharacterized. The transcript has 3 exons. The record is from RefSeq and is a predicted model, not a curated record. NCBI's taxonomy places the organism in Eukaryota, Metazoa, Chordata, Actinopteri, Cichliformes, Cichlidae.
GGAUCGAGUUCUGUGCAAUCCCCAGCUUUUUGUUGGUUUGGUCUCCGCAUCUUCUUUCCGACAAAGGGCUGUAUCGCGACCGAUUGCGCCCAGACGCCAAGAGACGGUACUUUCAAAAAAUUGCGUGCAUCGGUAAUGUGGACCCGUAUGAAAUAAGGAAGCGGAGUGGAAACCCAGACGACCUACCCUGGAGGCCCACAUCCAAUUCACGAACGGCUGGGUGCAAGAUUUGUCCAUCUUUAUGCCUCCACGCUGCGACAACUGUACGUUGUCGUUAAGACAAAGGUACUGCACUCACAACGACUGAAUGAAACUGCACUGUGACCUCGUUGUGUGGACACAGAGAG